Long non-coding RNA from Synchiropus splendidus (mandarinfish), 268 nucleotides. RefSeq lists it as uncharacterized. NCBI's taxonomy places the organism in Eukaryota, Metazoa, Chordata, Actinopteri, Syngnathiformes, Callionymidae. The transcript is spliced from 3 exons. The record is from RefSeq and is a predicted model, not a curated record.
UAAAAAGGUCUUACUGUUUUUAUCUGGACUAGUGGCAUUUAACGCUGAUAGCCGAGACCAAACAGCCGUGAUGGAUCCUCAUUGAUCAUUUCCCAUCCACGCAAGAAGAAAAAAAAAAGGUUAAUGGAGAAGUUUUGGCGGCGCGGAUGCUGGAUGUGGGGCAGCACCCGGGGCUCCUGGAGCUCAGCCGUUGAGGAGCCGUGGCCCCUCAUCCUUCUCCUCACCCAGGUGCCGCCCACCUCCAUCCACCAUUUUACCAACAACUGAG